AGGACGAACGCUGGCGGCGUGCUUAACACAUGCAAGUCGAGCGAGAAAGCUCCUUCGGGAGUGAGUACAGCGGCGAACGGGUGAGUAACACGUGGGCAACCUGCCCUAGGGAGCGGGACAACUCGGGGAAACCCGAGCUAAUACCGCAUGAAUCGGCCUUGCAUAAGUAAGGCCGGGAAAAGGUAGCUUAGGCCUCCGCCCUAGGAUGGGCCCGCGGCCGAUUAGCUAGUUGGUGUGGUAACGGCGCACCAAGGCGACGAUCGGUAGCUGGUCUGAGAGGACGAUCAGCCACACUGGGACUGAGACACGGCCCAGACUCCUACGGGAGGCAGCAGUGGGGAAUCUUGCGCAAUGGGCGAAAGCCUGACGCAGCAACGCCGCGUGGGGGAAGAAGGCCUUCGGGUUGUAAACCUCUUUCGGGAGGGACGAAGCUUCCAGGGUUAAUAGCCCAUGGGGUGACGGUACCUUCAGAAGAAGCCCCGGCUAACUACGUGCCAGCAGCCGCGGUAAUACGUAGGGGGCAAGCGUUGUCCGGAAUUAUUGGGCGUAAAGCGCGUGUAGGCGGCUUGGUAAGUCUGGUGUGAAACCUUGGGGCUUAACCCCAAGCCUGCACUGGAUACUGCCUCGCUAGAGUCCGGGAGGGGAGAGCGGAAUUCCCAGUGUAGCGGUGAAAUGCGCAGAUAUUGGGAAGAACACCAGUGGCGAAAGCGGCUCUCUGGAACGGUACUGACGCUGAGACGCGAAAGCGUGGGGAGCGAACAGGAUUAGAUACCCUGGUAGUCCACGCCGUAAGCGAUGGAUGCUAGCCGUUGGCGGGUUUACCCGUCAGUGGCGCAGCUAACGCUCUAAGCAUCCCGCCUGGGG
Molecule: ribosomal RNA, 864 nt
Filed under: uncultured soil bacterium
Lineage: Bacteria
Description: bacterial SSU rRNA
Rfam family: Bacterial small subunit ribosomal RNA
Source: RNAcentral